GAAUAAAACUAUAUUCGAGGGUACUCAAGUGACGUUUCCGAACGCAACCUUAAGCGGCGUUUCGCGCUUAAAUGGCGGUGGAACGUGCGAUUAUCGCGAGAUUACGUCAAGAAGCACAAUAUCACGUGGCAUAACGCUGGAGAUAACAAGACGUAGUAUCGGCGAGAUUGUGAAAUAUCUCUGGCUGACAGUGAGUUACAAGAUUCGCGGCGUUCGGUGCGAAUGCACCGGGACAUCGGUGCACGUGCACCGAGCGCGUUAUCGAACGUGCUUGCUUCCGAGCGUACGGGAUGAACGGGUAACAGUUGGUGCAGGUGCACCAAGUGUACGGAAAUGAGAAUUAUAUAGGUAGGUUCUCGUAUCACAGCUUUGGCACGAGACACUAAGAGUAUCGCAAUAUCAAAUACAGAUAUUUGUAACGUUUCGUGUGUGAGAGGAUAAAAAGUAAUAAUAAAAGAUGGUAAAAAAGUC
Long non-coding RNA from Monomorium pharaonis (pharaoh ant), 471 nucleotides. RefSeq lists it as uncharacterized. Lineage: Eukaryota; Metazoa; Arthropoda; Insecta; Hymenoptera; Formicidae. The record is from RefSeq and is a predicted model, not a curated record. The transcript is spliced from 2 exons.